UGCAGGCUGCAACUCGCCUGCAUGAAGUCGGAUUGCUAGUAAUCGUAGGUCAGCAUACUACGGUGAAUACGUUCCCCGGGGCCUUGUACACACCGCCCGUCACACCAUGAGAGUUGGAAAUACCCGAAGCCUGUGAGCUAACUUAAAGAGGCAGCAGUCGAAGGUAGAGCCAAUGAUUGGGGUGAAGUCGUAACAAGGUAAC
This 202-nucleotide ribosomal RNA is filed under the name uncultured bacterium. RNAcentral's name for it is "partial 16S ribosomal RNA". It matches the Rfam family "Bacterial small subunit ribosomal RNA", at positions 1299 to 1500 of the family's 1533-position model. The record is from RNAcentral.